AUGCGUGUGACCUCCCACGGCUGGAGGGCACGUGCAACCGAGGGAAAUUCAGUUAUGGCAGACGCGAGCGUGCAUGAGUCGGAUGAUGGACAGGAUAACGGCCAGGCUGACAGCAGAGACUUGCUGGCAUGUGAUAGACGAGCACGAGUGAGAGCAAUAGUAUCUGACUAUUCUAAAGUGUGUUUAGAUCCUCCUGCAUCUCUGGUAAAUUCUAUAAAUGAGAGUUAUCCAUCAGGAGCUGGGGUAGCCCUGGCUUUAAAGAGCAGGUACCCUCAAUGCCAUGAGGCGAUUAUGGCUCAGAACCCUCCAUUCGAAAUAGGCCGGGUGUUGGUGUACAGACGGUCUCUAACUGAAGCAAACGAUGGGGUGUAUGAAAUAUUAAAUCUAGUGACUGCUCCAUGUGUGGCUGGGAGUGCUCAUGAGGUGCAAGUUGAACAGUUGGUCAGCUGGUACGACAGUGUCAGACGAGCGUGUGAUACUGGGCAUGUCGCCACAUGCGUGCUGGGAACGGGGCGAUUGGGAUAUGCUGUUAAAGCAUCAUUAGAGGCCUUGAAAGCCGUGAUGGAUCUGCACACAGAUACGAUGUGGACGCUGGUUCUGAACACAGAAGGGUUACUCAGAGCAGCUCGCCAGACGCUCAAUUUAAAGGAGUGGCAGCCAGAGGAAGCUGCAGCACAUCCAGGUCCGACGCUGUACCCUGAUUUGAAUCUUUUACCCUCGUAUGAGGAGAGAGUCAUAGCUGGGUUUCAACCUAUAAAUAAAGAUGUCAGAACUGCUACAGCCUUCCAUUCAGAGGGGAGCGGGGAUGAAUCAGACAGCAGUGAUGAGCAUGAGUCAGAUGAUCUGUGUAGUGAGUUGGUGACUGAUGUCUCUGCUUUGGAAGCACAACUUAAGCAAGGCGACACGUCUGCUUGUCUUGCCUAUGGUGUGAUGAUGCUACAGGGAGAUAUUGGUGCUAGAACACUGCCAGCUCCAAACUGGGUCAUGACUCUCCUGGUGAAGCCAGGAACGGACCUUCGUCGGGACCCUGCAUUAGCACCCUUGAGACACUUAGCCGGGAGGCCAGCCCUAAAAACGUGGGGAUCAUAUAUACCUUCGGGCGGAACGCCAGUAUGGCUGGAUCCGGGGUAUCUGGCGGUUAACGCUAUAGUGGUCAUUUCUCAUGCUUCAGGCUCAACUCCACAGAGGGAGCUGAAAAACUGGAGAAGUCAGACCGAAAGGGCCGUGCUGGCUGCAGGACUGAGAACAACCAGGGUGGUUUAUUACCUUAGAAGCACAAAGAACGUCACCCUGCAGACGCACACAAGAGACGCCAUGCUGCACGCUGCCCUAACCAGUCGGUGGUCAGGCAGACUGAUAGAGCCGGCCAUCUGGGUUCACACCAUGGGUGUGGCGGCAAGAGCCUUGGCAGAGCAAAAACGAGCGGAAUCGGAUUUACCUCAGAGAAGGGAGGCGUCUUGGGCUCCGACAGCACAGAUGCCUGUCAGUGGUCAGUUGGGGCUUGAGAGGGGGGGUCCCUGCAGACCACAACCUCUGAGAGCCCCCGCUCCUCUCAGGCCUGUGACCCCCACAGCUCCACCUUUGACUCCAGUGAGACACUCCACAGAAAUCCCACUUGGUGGACGGUGUGGUUCUGAUUACAGACGGCCUUCGGCUGUUUCCUCGAUAAUACCUCCUCCUCAAUCAGACAGCGAGGAAGAGGGGGGCAGAAAUAAAUGGAUGGGCCCUCAGGACGGAGUAAAAGGGAGAGCUUUAAAACCAAAAAGGAGAACUGAGAGUCAGGCUCCUGGCUCCAGAUACAAUCAGACCCUUCCCCCGUUCACGUGUCCGUGGUGUCGUGGCUUCAGACCCCUCACUGAAGGAGAUAAUCAUCUGGAGCAGGAAUGUGAAAUGCCUGAUCGGUACUCAGGGAGGAAAGAAGCACACAUGAUAAGAAAUGCUACAACCAGCUCAGACGUGAAGCGUCAGUCGGAUUGGACAGCACCAUUCAAAGCUCAGUUUCUGAGUUGUGGAUAUGGUUUUUAUAGAGAUGGCUGUGUCCAGAGGGAUGCUGCCGUACAGCAGAGGUAUGCUCAAUGGGGGCAUCAAUCACGCCCCCACCCUCCUGUUCAGCAGGAAUGUGGAGCCAUGGAGCUGGAGAGACUCGCUCCAGUAGAGACUGCUAUGGUACAGAAAGCUGGCAAUUUGUCUUCAUUGUUGGGUCUUGUGCCUGGCAGGAAGGCGGGAGAGCCACAAAAUCUCGACGUCGCUCGUUUGAGACAGGCCGGUUUGACAGAUCAAGAGCCGGAAGACUCUGACAUGAUUACUUUACCAAAGGCUGAGACUUUGGCUGGUGAAGCUGUCAUCCGGUUGCCAGGCUGUGAUUUGAUGGAUGAGUGUAUCGCAAGGAUGUCAGAUAAGGUUAGGAGAAACUUAAUACCUCUAAGAACAGCUAUGUUGUCCCUUCAAAAAGAGGGAGCAUCAAUCAUACACCAGGAACGGCUGUUAUUAUCACUUCCUGGAACCAUAUCUCUGGCUGUAAAAUGGCGUGGACUGACAAGAGGUCAACAGCUGGAGAAAAUGUAUUAUUGGGAAGUUAAGAAACUGCUUAUUGACCAGUCAAAAAACGCGAGAACCCCCUUCAGUGGGAAUGGGGGGAGCCAGCUUGAGGCCGGAGCAGCUUACCCUCAGGAAAGGAGAGGGGGAGAGACAAGUGUUCACAGGGACGACUCACGGAGAGAUGCGAGCAGAAACCUGAGCAGGCAGCGAGCACAGACUCAGGAGAUGCCAACCGAUUGGAUCCCAGACGAAGAGUAUGCAAAAUUAACGUGGGACCAACGCCGUGCUCAUCGCCGUAUGAGGCGGGGGAGGUUCCAGAGACCUCCUGCGGAUUUACAGUCACCCCCCAUUUCCCAAACCACCCCUUCACCCUCGAAGGGGCAAUAG
Long non-coding RNA from Nothobranchius furzeri (turquoise killifish), 2925 nucleotides. Lineage: Eukaryota; Metazoa; Chordata; Actinopteri; Cyprinodontiformes; Nothobranchiidae. The record is from Ensembl.